This 1515-nucleotide ribosomal RNA is filed under the name metagenome. Its description in RNAcentral is "bacterial SSU rRNA". It matches the Rfam family "Bacterial small subunit ribosomal RNA". The record is from RNAcentral.
AGAGUUUGAUUCUGGCUCAGAACGAACGCUGGCGGCAUGCCUAACACAUGCAAGUCGUGCGAGAAAGCUCCUUCGGGAGUGAGUAAAGCGGCGAACGGGUGAGUAACACGUAGGUAACCCGCCCUUAAGGCUGGGACAACCCCGCGAAAGUGGGGCUAAUACCGGAUAAGACCACAAAGCUUUCGAGCUUAGUGCUUAAAGAUGGCCUCUCCAUGGAAGCUAUCACUUAAGGAUGGGCCUGCGCAGCAUUAGCUUGUUGGUGAGGUAACGGCUCACCAAGGCUACGAUGCUUAGCUGAUCUGAGAGGAUGAUCAGCCACACUGGAACUGAAAACGGUCCAGACUCCUACGGGAGGCAGCAGUGGGGAAUAUUGCGCAAUGGGGGCAACCCUGACGCAGCAAUGCCGUGUGAGUGACGAAGGCCCUCGGGUUGUAAAGCUCUGUCGAAAGGGACGAACCUGUCUGAAGCUAAUAUCUUCGGGCACUGACGGUACCUUUAAAGGAAGCACCGGCUAACUCCGUGCCAGCAGCCGCGGUAAUACGGAGGGUGCAAGCGUUGUUCGGAAUUACUGGGCGUAAAGCGCGCGUAGGCGGCUUUUUGUGUCAGGUGUGAAAGCCUUCCGCUCAACGGGAGAAGUGCGCCUGAAACUGAAAAGCUUGAGUACGAGAGGGGGAGACGGAAUUCCUAGUGUAGAGGUGAAAUUCGUAGAUAUUAGGAAGAACACCGGUGGCGAAAGCGGUUUCCUGGCUCGUAACUGACGCUAAGACGCGAAAGCGUGGGUAGCAAACAGGAUUAGAUACCCUGGUAGUCCACGCCGUAAACGAUGGAUACUAGUCGUCGGGAGCAUUUAAAACUUUCGGUGACGACGCUAACGCAUUAAGUAUCCCGCCUGGGGAGUACGGCCGCAAGGUUAAAACUCAAAGGAAUUGACGGGGGCCCGCACAAGCGGUGGAGCAUGUGGUUUAAUUCGACACAACGCGAAGAACCUUACCUGGGUUUGACAUCUGGGGAAUCCUCUAGAGAUAGAGGAGUGCCCUUCGGGGAACCCCAAGACAGGUGCUGCAUGGCUGUCGUCAGCUCGUGUCGUGAGAUGUUGGUUAAGUCCCGCAACGAGCGCAACCCUCGUCUUUAGUUGCCAUCAUUUAGUUGGGCACUCUAAAGAGACCGCCCGGGUUAACCGGGAGGAAGGUGGGGAUGACGUCAAGUCCUCAUGGCCCUUAUGUCCAGGGCUACACACGUGCUACAAUGGCCGGUACAAUGGGCUGCCAAGCUGCAAAGUGGAGCCAAUCCCAUCAAAACCGGUCUAAGUUCGGAUUGGAGUCUGCAACUCGACUCCAUGAAGCUGGAAUCGCUAGUAAUCGUGGAUCAGCAUGCCACGGUGAAUACGUUCCCGGGCCUUGUACACACCGCCCGUCACACCACGAAAGCUGUUUAUACCAGAAGUCGGUGACCUAACCUUCGGGAAGGAGCCGCCCAAGGUAUGAGCGGUGAUUGGGGUGAAGUCGUAACAAGGUA